RNAcentral lists this ribosomal RNA (478 nucleotides) under uncultured bacterium. RNAcentral describes it as "partial 16S ribosomal RNA". It matches the Rfam family "Bacterial small subunit ribosomal RNA", at positions 28 to 507 of the family's 1533-position model. The record is from RNAcentral.
GAUGAACGCUGGCGGCGUGCUUAACACAUGCAAGUCGAACGGGAAUUAUUUUAUUGAAACUUCGGUCGAUUUAAUUUACUUCUAGUGGCGGACGGGUGAGUAACGCGUGGGUAACCUGCCUUAUACAGGGGGAUAACAGUCAGAAAUGGCUGCUAAUACCGCAUAAGCGCACAGAGCUGCAUGGCUCAGUGUGAAAAACUCCGGUGGUAUAAGAUGGACCCGCGUUGGAUUAGCUGGUUGGUGGGGUAACGGCCCACCAAGGCGACGAUCCAUAGCCGGCCUGAGAGGGUGAACGGCCACAUUGGGACUGAGACACGGCCCAGACUCCUACGGGAGGCAGCAGUGGGGAAUAUUGCACAAUGGGGGAAACCCUGAUGCAGCGACGCCGCGUGAAGGAAGAAGUAUCUCGGUAUGUAAACUUCUAUCAGCAGGGAAGAUAGUGACGGUACCUGACGAAGAAGCCCCGGCUAACUACGUG